Molecule: long non-coding RNA, 340 nt
Filed under: Gallus gallus (chicken)
Lineage: Eukaryota; Metazoa; Chordata; Aves; Galliformes; Phasianidae
Description: long non-coding RNA NONGGAT001102
Source: RNAcentral
CAGCAGUGUGGGGAGAGCAGUGGAUGUUAUGUAACUUUACUGCAGGAAGGCGUUUGACAGUGUCUCCCACAAAUGUGGGAUAGAUGAUGAGGUGGUUUGAGAACUGGCUGAUUGUCAGAGCUCAGAGGAUGAUCAUCAGUGGCGCGGGGUCUGGUGCUCCCAUGGGCUGGUGCCAGUGGUUCCCCCAAGCUCAGCUGGUGCUAAAAGCUCACAGGCUGACAGGGACAGACAGGUAAAGCGACAGAGAAACUAUGCAGUGGAGUAAGCAAGCACGUGCCCUUUGGGCUCCUGAAUGUGUCAGGGGUAUGCUCUCCUGUUACAGCCUGUAAUAGCUGUGGUA